This 270-nucleotide ribosomal RNA is filed under the name uncultured Ambispora. RNAcentral describes it as "partial small subunit ribosomal RNA". It matches the Rfam family "Eukaryotic small subunit ribosomal RNA", at positions 605 to 877 of the family's 1831-position model. Lineage: Eukaryota; Fungi; Glomeromycota; Glomeromycetes; Archaeosporales; Ambisporaceae. The record is from RNAcentral.
UAUAGUUGUUGCAGUUAAAAAGCUCGUAGUUGAAUUUUGGGUCUGGCCGGGCGGUCCACCUUCCGGUGAGCACUGUUCCGAUGUCGGGCCUAUCCUUCUGGUGAGACGGCAUGCCCUUCACUGGGUGUGUCGGGGAACCAGGACCAUUACCUUGAAAAAAUUAGAGUGUUCAAAGCAGGCGGUUGCUCGAAUACAUUAGCAUGGAAUAAUGAAAUAGNACGCGUGGUACUAUUUUGUUGGUUUCUAGGACCGCCGUAAUGAUUAAUAGGG